UCGAGCGAGAAAGUCCCCGCAAGGGGAUGAGUAAAGCGGCGAACGGGUGAGUAACACGUGGGCAACCUGCCCUUCAGUCAGGAAUAACCCCGCGAAAGCGGGGCUAAUACCGGAUAAUGUCCUCUGGGGGCAUCCUCGGGGGACCAAAGGGGGCGAGCGAAAGCGGCUCCCGCUGUAGGAUGGGCCUGCGGCUGAUUAGCUAGUUGGUGGGGUAGCGGCCUACCAAGGCGACGAUCAGUAGCCGACCUGAGAGGGUGACCGGCCACACUGGGACUGAGACACGGCCCAGACUCCUACGGGAGGCAGCAGUGGGGAAUAUUGCGCAAUGGGCGAAAGCCUGACGCAGCGACGCCGCGUGGGUGAUGAAGGCCUUCGGGUCGUAAAACCCUGUCGGGUGGAACGAAUUCCGCCUCGCUAAUACCGAGGCGGCUUGACGGUACCACCGAAGGAAGCCCCGGCUAACUACGUGCCAGCAGCCGCGGUAAUACGUAGGGGGCGAGCGUUGUUCGGAUUUACUGGGCGUAAAGAGCGCGUAGGUGGUUCGAUGAGUCGGAGGUGAAAUCCCUCGGCUUAACCGAGGACCCGCGUCCGAUACUGUCGAACUUGAGUGCAGGAGAGGAGAGCG
Molecule: ribosomal RNA, 625 nt
Filed under: uncultured bacterium
Lineage: Bacteria
Description: bacterial SSU rRNA
Rfam family: Bacterial small subunit ribosomal RNA
Source: RNAcentral